AACGUAGCGCCGAGCCAGCAAACCAGCUCCCACUGCCCCUCCCCUGCCCGCUGAGAGUGGCGGCGAGCGGGGGUUGGGGGGGCAGGAACUGAGGGGUGCGGAUCCGGGCCCCCCAGCCUGCGAUGCGCCCUAGCAGGUCGAGCGGGCGUCGUCCACGCUUCGGAGCCCCGCUUUCAUGCGCGAAAUCCCCAGAAGUCGUCUGUGACCGCCUCCUUGCUUCAGACACCAGAGAGGGCCCGGGGUCCUGGCCGGAGUCAGGCCGAACCUCCGGAGCUGCUUCUGCACCCCGUACAUUGACCGAACUGACGGGCUGCGAGCCCGGAAGAGCUGGGUAGAUGAGGCCAGCGUCCAGCUUCUCCCCCAAACCACAGCACGACGAGCUUUGUCCCUGGGGAGCGUGAAGUCACCGGCUCCGGGAGGCAAUAUGAGGGCGAGGGACGGGGCAGGGAGACCCAGGGGUCCUCAGGGAAGUGGGGGUGCCGGAGGAGUCGGGGACACCCGCGGGCCUCUCCAAGCCCGGAGCAUCCCCUGCGCCCGCAGCCCUGUGAGACGCUGGGUGCUCUGGCCAUGGGCUCUGCCGCCAGGCCUCGGCGCUUUGUCCCCGGCCCGCCCGGGGAUGCUACCGCGCUAGAGUUGGACUCCAAGGUUUGCCUGCCGGGGAAGCGCUGGCGGCCGCCGCCUGGCGCGGAGCCCCAGGCUGCAGGCGCCGCGUGUGCGGGCGGGAAGUUCCCACAGUUGCAAAGAGGGAGCGAAGUAUGUGUUCCAAACUUUCCACGGUUCCAAACUGAGCGCUUCCAUUAAGAGGAGCGGUGUGCGGGGGAAAAGCAUUCUGGGUAUUAGCAUGCAAAUGAACGGGCUCGGCUUCCAACUCCGCUCGGAAUUCCCACCGCUACGCGCGGAGCUCGCGCCCAGCCACGCGCGCCCUGGGGCUUCCGGGCGUUGCCCUGGCGGAUGGCUGUGCUCAAAUCCACUCCCCUGGACCAUCCCCCGCCAGAGAGCCCAGAUGCAGGCUUGCUUAGAAGGCAUGUGA
This is a non-coding RNA of Saimiri boliviensis boliviensis (Bolivian squirrel monkey), 1030 nucleotides long. NCBI's taxonomy places the organism in Eukaryota, Metazoa, Chordata, Mammalia, Primates, Cebidae. The record is from RefSeq and is a predicted model, not a curated record.